UUAAAUUGAAGAGUUUGAUCAUGGCUCAGAUUGAACGCUGGCGGCAGGCCUAACACAUGCAAGUCGAACGGUAACAGGAAGCAGCUUGCUGCUUCGCUGCCGAGUGGCG
This 109-nucleotide ribosomal RNA is filed under the name Salmonella enterica. RNAcentral's name for it is "partial 16S ribosomal RNA". It matches the Rfam family "Bacterial small subunit ribosomal RNA", at positions 1 to 100 of the family's 1533-position model. The record is from RNAcentral. Lineage: Bacteria; Pseudomonadati; Pseudomonadota; Gammaproteobacteria; Enterobacterales; Enterobacteriaceae.